RNAcentral lists this ribosomal RNA (460 nucleotides) under uncultured bacterium. RNAcentral describes it as "partial 16S ribosomal RNA". It matches the Rfam family "Bacterial small subunit ribosomal RNA", at positions 338 to 795 of the family's 1533-position model. The record is from RNAcentral.
CCUACGGGUGGCAGCAGUGAGGAAUAUUGGUCAAUGGGCGCGAGCCUGAACCAGCCAAGUAGCGUGAAGGAUGACUGCCCUACGGGUUGUAAACUUCUUUUAUAAAGGAAUAAAGUGAGGCACGUGUGCCUUUUUGUAUGUACUUUAUGAAUAAGGAUCGGCUAACCACGUGCCAGCAGCCGCGGUAAUACGGAGGAUCCGAGAGUUAUCCGGUUUUAUUGUGUUUAAAGGGAGCGUAGAUGGGUUGUUAGGGCAGUUGUGAAAGUUUGCGGUUCAACCGUAAAAUUGCAAUUGAUACUGGCAGUCUUGAGUACAGUUGAGGUAGGCGGAAUUCGUGGUGUAGCGGUGAAAUGCUUAGAUAGCACGAAGAACCACGAUUGCGAAGGCAGCUUACUAAACUGUGACUGACAUUGAUGCUCGAAAGUGUGGGUAUCAAACAGGAUUAGAUACCCGGGUAGUC